UACGUAGGGGGCAAGCGUUGUCCGGAAUCAUUGGGCGUAAAGAGCGCGUAGGCGGCCCUGUAAGUCCGCUGUGAAAGUCAAGGGCUCAACCCUUGAAUGCCGGUGGAUACUGUCGGGCUAGAGUCCGGAAGAGGCGAGUGGAAUUCCUGGUGUAGCGGUGGAAUGCGCAGAUAUCAGGAGGAACACCGAUUGCGAAGGCAGCUCGCUGGGACGGUACUGACGCUGAGGCGCGAAAGCGUGGGGAGCGAACAGG
Molecule: ribosomal RNA, 253 nt
Filed under: uncultured bacterium
Lineage: Bacteria
Description: partial 16S ribosomal RNA
Rfam family: Bacterial small subunit ribosomal RNA
Source: RNAcentral